UGGUCGUCCCCGGCUCCGGCCAGCGAGAUCCAGUAUCCAAUCACCAAGACGAACCAGCGGGUCUUCGACAUCUACAUCAAUAACCAGACUGCCACUGCCGAUGCCGAUGUCAUACAGUGGAGCGGAGGAAUUGGCAAGCCUGUCUAUGAGGACUAUGUGGUGGUCGUCCCCGGCUCCGGCCAGAGCGACCUAUGGAUCGCUCUCCACCCCGAAAUGAAGACCAAGCCGGAGAAUGCCGAUGCCAUCCUCAAUGGGCUUGAGGUCUUCAAACUGCAGAACAGCAAUGUCAGUCUCGCUGGGCUCAACCCCCCGCUGCUCCCCCAGACGGACUCUGAACCUGACAAGGUCUUGAAUAAGAGCAAAUCAAAGAGCAAAACGCCGGCAAUUGUCGGUGGAGUGAUCGGCGCUGCCCUCCUCAGCUGCUUGCUGCUGUUUGUUUGCUGCCGAGGGAAGAAGAAGCGAGGUAAGGACGCCGGCGGUGGCGCCAGCGACGGGCAAUCUGGCUGGCUGCCACUCUCCCUCUACGGCAAUUCCCACUCUGCCGCCUCCGGGAAGUCGAACACCACCGGGAGCAUCGCCUCAUCGCUCCCAUCCAACCUCUGCCGCCAUUUCUCCUUCGCCGAGAUUGAGGCCGCCACCAACAAAUUCGACGAGACCCGCCUCCUUGGUGUUGGCGGGUUCGGCAAGGUCUACCGCGGUGACAUUGACGGUGGCUCUCUCAAGGUCGCCAUCAAGCGAGGCAACCCACUCUCUGAGCAGGGAGUUAAUGAGUUUCAGACUGAGAUUGAGAUGCUCUCGAAGCUCCGACAUCGGCACCUUGUCUCCCUCAUCGGCUACUGUGAGGAGAAGAACGAGAUGAUCCUCGUGUAUGACUACAUGGCUUACGGCACCCUGAGGGAGCACCUCUACAAGACACAGAACCCACCGAUGUCAUGGAAGCAGCGCCUGGAGAUCUGCAUUGGUGCUGCCAGGGGUCUUCACUACCUCCACACUGGUGCCAAGUACACCAUCAUCCAUCGCGAUGUGAAGACCACCAACAUCCUCCUCGAUGAGAAAUGGGUUGCCAAGGUGUCUGAUUUUGGUCUGUCGAAGACCGGCCCGGAGCUGGACCACACUCAUGUGAGCACUGUGGUGAAGGGUAGUUUUGGGUAUCUUGACCCAGAGUACUUCCGGCGCCAGCAGCUGACGGAGAAGUCCGACGUCUACUCUUUUGGUGUGGUGCUCUUCGAAGUGUUAUGUGCACGGCCAGCUUUGAAUCCGACAUUGCCGAAAGAGCAAGUGAGCUUGGCAGAGUGGGCGCUGCAUUGCCAGAAAAAAGGCGUGCUUGAUUCUAUCAUGGAUCCUUACCUCAAGGGCAAGAUUGCUCCACAAUGCUUUAAGAAAUUUGCUGAGACAGCGGAGAAGUGUGUGGCUGAUAACGGGAUCGAGCGGCCGGCAAUGGGGGAUGUGCUGUGGAAUUUGGAGUUUGCUUUGCAGCUGCAGGAGAGCGCGGAGGAGAAGGGGAUGAUGAUUGGAGGUGAGAUUUCAGAUGGGGAUGGAGAGAUGCCGCCCAUGAAGUUGGGUGGUAAGAAGGAGCCACAUGAUCCGAUGAUGGAUUCGAAGAGUUCAGGGACGACCACGACGAGUUCCACGGUGAGCAUUGGUGGGCAGAGCCUGGCUAGCGAGGAUUCGGACGGGCUGACGCCGAGUGCGGUGU
Molecule: unclassified non-coding RNA, 1696 nt
Filed under: Hevea brasiliensis (rubber tree)
Lineage: Eukaryota; Viridiplantae; Streptophyta; Magnoliopsida; Malpighiales; Euphorbiaceae
Source: RNAcentral